GUGAAUCAUCAAAUCUUUGAACGCAUAUUGCACUCUCUUCGGAGAGUAUGCCUGUUUGAGGGUCAGCCUAAAAAAAAUCGACAUAGUUGCUGUUUCGCAGUGACAUUCGUCGGAAAUUGGGUCAUCUUAAACCUUUGGGUUUUUUAAGCAGCUUAAAGUUUUCUUUACGAUUCCACGAACGUUUCUAAGAUUUUACUUCUUACACACGUUUAAGGUAUCGAUCUUUAUUAGACGUGGCCGUUGCAUCGGAUCGCUUCCAUAAAUAUUUCAUUAACUGACCUCAUACAGGUAAU
Molecule: unclassified non-coding RNA, 293 nt
Filed under: Glomus sp.
Lineage: Eukaryota; Fungi; Glomeromycota; Glomeromycetes; Glomerales; Glomeraceae
Description: partial contains 5.8S ribosomal RNA and internal transcribed spacer 2
Rfam family: 5.8S ribosomal RNA (bases 1-65)
Source: RNAcentral